UAGACGCGUGGCCGGAGAGGAAGCCAACGUGUGCCUGCCUGUUGAGUGCCUGACGUGCCCUGGGAGACUUGUGGUGCCCCUGUGAACUUGUAAAGCAGUGUACUUGCGGAGGAUUUGUCAAUAAACUUAGGAAAUAGUGCCCGUGUUUUUCCCUUGUGGCCUGGCCUCGUGUGUGUGUGUGUGUGUGUGUGCACGCGCGCCUUGUCCCGGCGUUCAGAGUGUGACUCCGCUGCUCUACCUAUACCCGUGUGGAUAACACGCCCGCCCGGAGUGAGGGAUGGGCGCAACAAUAACAUCUUUGUUGGCCCUGUCGAAGGCACCCUUAAGAUUAACGAAAGCUCUGCAGGACGGUUAUAUGAACUGGCAGCCAUUGUUGAUGUUUGCAUUGCUUGCUGGGGCCGGGAGAAUUCCACGAUUACAGCUCAAAUAGAAGGAGUGAGUGAGGCAGGAUGAGUUUGAUGGGUGCUUAGGCUGAGAGUCACGCCGCAGGGUCAGUGAGGGGUACGGCCGGCAGUAUGGUGACCCCUACGGCGGCGGCAGGUCAUCACAGGAGUACUCAUGUGACAGGAGCAACAGUUGGGAGGUGGUCACAGGGGAGGGGGCUGAUGACGAAGCCGUGGGAGGGGGAGAUGGUGCCAGGGAUUGGCAGGGUGGCCGGCCGGGCGCUGCAGGGGACGGCCGCUGCUCCGGACAUCAUGGCAUAUGGAUAACCUGGAGUCCGAAGUGGCACUUAAUAUUCUCAACACUGUGCUGACUAAUAAAGAAGAGGCACAGUGGUCAAGACAGAGGGACUGGGAAGGCAGACAGAAGAGGAGGAUGGACUGGGACGACCAGUACUAUGGGUCUGGCUGCGGCAUCCUACCCACCCCCCAGAUGCCCCCACGCUAACUGCCCUGGCGCGACCCUAACAUUGGCCCUGCACACUCCUGGGGUGUGGUGGGGGGCUUUGUACCAGGGCGGCCGGGGCAGGGGCAGGGUAGACCAACAGGACUGGGGUACAAGAUGAAGAAAACAUUGCUGGCUAAGAAGAAAAUAGGAGCUAAGGAGCUCCUCCCAGAACGAGCCCACACCUGCACCUGAGGACACACCCACACCCACACCUGCACCCAAGUCUGCACCCAAGCCUUCACCCACCCCCAGCACCCACUCCAGCACCCACUCCAGCACCCAGCACAGCCCAGGGGAAGGCCCAGGGCAGGCAGCCAAGGGCCGAGGCAGGGGCAGGGGUGUGGCUUGGGGGAGGAGAGUGUGAAGUGUGUGGGUUAGGUUUGUGUGUGGUAUUUUGUCUGGGCUGCUCCAUAUGUGGGAGAGCUCGGUUGGUGUAGAGAUGGAUAGAUAGAUGUGUGUGUGUGUGUGUGUGUGUGUGUGUGUGUGUGUGUGUGUGUGUGUGUGUGUGAGGGAUUUGUACUUCAUUCAAGCAUCUUUUAUUUUUACUACUGCUACUAUCUUGUUCACUACUGGAAGAUUAGUACUAAGAUGUGAUUCUUGUUAUUUUUAAGGGUAUUAUUCCAAUGUUUUUUGUAUGAUUGCAUCUCAUUCCUGUUGUACUUGAGAGAGAGAGAGAGAGAGAGAGAGAGAGAGAGAGAGAGAGAGAGAGAGAGAGAGAGAGAGAGAGAGAGAGAGAGAGAGAGAACAGGCCCCAUUGCUCAAACUAAUGAUAAAAAAAAAAACUCAACCAUUCCAAAAAGUAUAGAUAUAUUAGUUUUGUGAGUAGAAUUUGCCAGAAAGGAAAUUUGAAAUACAUGAGUGUGUGGGAGAGGCAAAGGAUAUGUAGGGCGGCAGAUUGGUGUGUGAAGGAUGUGUAGGAGAGGCUGAGGAUAUCCUGUACACUGUCAGGAUGGUUAAGAGUGAUUUGGAAGGAAGGUAGUGUGUGAAGGAUGCAUUAGGUAGGUUGUGUAGUAGUGGGUACAAUGUGUUAAGAAUGAUAUGUAUGUUACAGGAGAUAAGGAUGUGUAUUUUCACCACAAGUAUGUGUAGAGAUUGGUGUUAAGACAGUAGGAAGGUUUGAUUAAGCUGGACCAUCAUUCCUUGUGUUGUCUUAAUAAAUGUAUGCAAACUGA
Molecule: long non-coding RNA, 2060 nt
Organism: Scylla paramamosain (green mud crab)
Lineage: Eukaryota; Metazoa; Arthropoda; Malacostraca; Decapoda; Portunidae
Exons: 7
Source: RefSeq, a predicted model, not a curated record